This 433-nucleotide ribosomal RNA is filed under the name uncultured Actinomycetes bacterium. Its description in RNAcentral is "bacterial SSU rRNA". It matches the Rfam family "Bacterial small subunit ribosomal RNA", at positions 958 to 1385 of the family's 1533-position model. Lineage: Bacteria; Bacillati; Actinomycetota; Actinomycetes. The record is from RNAcentral.
AACGCGAAGAACCUUACCAAGGCUUGACAUCGCCGGAAAACUCGCAGAGAUGCGGGGUCCUUUUGGGCCGGUGACAGGUGGUGCAUGGCUGUCGUCAGCUCGUGUCGUGAGAUGUUGGGUUAAGUCCCGCAACGAGCGCAACCCUCGUUCCAUGUUGCCAGCAACACCUUCGGGUGGUUGGGGACUCAUGGGAGACUGCCGGGGUCAACUCGGAGGAAGGUGGGGAUGACGUCAAGUCAUCAUGCCCCUUAUGUCUUGGGCUGCAAACAUGCUACAAUGGCCGGUACAGAGGGCUGCGAUACCGUAAGGUGGAGCGAAUCCCUAAAAGCCGGUCUCAGUUCGGAUUGGGGUCUGCAACUCGACCCCAUGAAGUCGGAGUCGCUAGUAAUCGCAGAUCAGCAACGCUGCGGUGAAUACGUUCCCGGGCCUUGUA